CUCAAAGGAAUUGACGGGACCCGCACAAGCGGUGGAACAUGUGGUUAAUUCGAUGAUACGCGAGGAACCUUACCUGGGCUUAAAUGUAGAGUGCAUUUUCUAGAGAUAGGAAUUCCCUUCGGGGCUUUCUACAAGGUGCUGCAUGGUUGUCGUCAGCUCGUGCCGUGAGGUGUCGGGUUAAGUCCCAUAACGAGCGCAACCCUUAUCGUUAGUUGCCAUCUGGUAAAGCAGGGGACUCUAGCGAAACUGCCACCGUAAGGUGAGAGGAAGGUGGGAUGACGUCAAAUCAGCACGGCCCUUAUGUCCAGGGCUACACACGUGUUACAAUGGUCGGUACAGAGGGCAGCUACCUGGUGACAGGAUGCUAAUCUCGAAAACCGGCCUCAGUUCGGAUCGAAGUCUGCAACUCGACUUCGUGAAGCUGGAUUCGCUAGUAAUCGCGCAUCCAGCCAUGGCGCGGUGAAUACGUUCCCGGGCCUU
This 480-nucleotide ribosomal RNA is filed under the name uncultured Sphingobacteriales bacterium. RNAcentral describes it as "bacterial SSU rRNA". It matches the Rfam family "Bacterial small subunit ribosomal RNA", at positions 900 to 1382 of the family's 1533-position model. The record is from RNAcentral. Lineage: Bacteria; Pseudomonadati; Bacteroidota; Sphingobacteriia; Sphingobacteriales.